AGGAAUAUUGGUCAAUGGGCGAGAGCCUGAACCAGCCAAGUCGCGUGAGGGAAGAAUGGUCUAUGGCCUGUAAACCUCUUUUGCCAGGGAAGAAUAAAAGGUACGUGUACCUUCUUGCCAGUACCUGACGAAUAAGCAUCGGCUAACUCCGUGCCAGCAGCCGCGGUAAUACGGGGGAUGCGAGCGUUAUCCGGAUUUAUUGGGUUUAAAGGGCGCGUAGGCGGGACGCCAAGUCAGCGGUAAAAGACUGCAGCUAAACUGUAGCACGCCGUUGAAACUGGCGACCUGGAGACGAGACGAGGGAGGCGGAACAAGUGAAGUAGCGGUGAAAUGCUUAGAUAUCACUUGGAACCCCGAUAGCGAAGGCAGCUUCCCAGGCUCGAUCUGACGCUGAUGCGCGAGAGCGUGGGUAGCGAACAGGAUUAGAUACCCUGGUAGUCCACGCCGUAAACGAUGCUCACUGGAUCUUGGCGAUACACCGCCAGGGUUCAAGCGAAAGUAUUAAGUGAGCCACCUGGGGAGUACGUCGGCAACGAUGAAACUCAAAGGAAUUGACGGGGGCCCGCACAAGCGGAGGAACAUGUGGUUUAAUUCGAUGAUACGCGAGGAACCUUACCCGGGUUUAAAUGUAUUUUGCAUGAGGUGGAAACACUUCUUCCCUUCGGGGCUAGAUACAAGGUGCUGCAUGGUUGUCGUCAGCUCGUGCCGUGAGGUGUCGGGUUAAGUCCCAUAACGAGCGCAACCCCUAUCGCCAGUUGCCAUCGGUUCAAGCCGGGCACUCUGUCGAGACUGCCACCGUAAGGUGCGAGGAAGGCGGGGAUGACGUCAAAUCAGCACGGCCCUUACACCCGGGGCGACACACGUGUUACAAUGGCCGGUACAGAGGGCAGCCACGGGGUGACCCGGAGCGAAUCUCUAAAGCCGGUCGUAGUUCGGACUGGAGUCUGCAACCCGACUCCACGAAGUUGGAUUCGCUAGUAAUCGCGCAUCAGCCAUGGCGCGGUGAAUACGUUCCCG
This 1017-nucleotide ribosomal RNA is filed under the name uncultured bacterium. Its description in RNAcentral is "bacterial SSU rRNA". It matches the Rfam family "Bacterial small subunit ribosomal RNA", at positions 357 to 1376 of the family's 1533-position model. The record is from RNAcentral.